RNAcentral lists this ribosomal RNA (255 nucleotides) under uncultured bacterium. RNAcentral's name for it is "partial 16S ribosomal RNA". It matches the Rfam family "Bacterial small subunit ribosomal RNA", at positions 524 to 776 of the family's 1533-position model. The record is from RNAcentral.
UACGUAGGGGGGCAAGCGUUGUCCGGAUUCAUUGGGCGUAAAGAGCGUGUAGGCGGCCUGAAAGGUCAGCUGUGAAAACUCGAGGCUCAACCUCGAGACGUCGGUUGAAACCAUCUGGCUAGAGUCCGGAAGAGGAGUGUGGAAUUCCCGGUGUAGCGGUGAAAUGCGCAGAUAUCGGGAAGAACACCCGUGGCGAAGGCGGCACUCUGGGACGGUACUGACGCGUGAGACGCGAAGGCGUGGGGAGCGAACGGG